UUAAGUUCAGCGGGUAUCCCUACCUGAUCCGAGGUCAACAUUUUGGAGUCGGGGGUUUAACGGCGGGGCCGCGCCGGCCUCCGGUGCGAGUGUGCAAGCUACUGCGCAGGGGAGGCUGCGGCGGGACCGCCACUGCAUUUCGGGGGCGGCGCCUGAGGCGGGGCCGGGUCCCCAACACCGAGCCCCCGGGGGGGGUUCGA
RNAcentral lists this unclassified non-coding RNA (200 nucleotides) under Trichoderma sp. Its description in RNAcentral is "partial internal transcribed spacer 2". Lineage: Eukaryota; Fungi; Ascomycota; Sordariomycetes; Hypocreales; Hypocreaceae. The record is from RNAcentral.